This 3195-nucleotide ribosomal RNA is filed under the name Triticum aestivum (bread wheat). Its description in RNAcentral is "partial small subunit ribosomal RNA". The record is from RNAcentral. Lineage: Eukaryota; Viridiplantae; Streptophyta; Magnoliopsida; Poales; Poaceae.
AUGAAGAACUUCCUCAGGAAGCUUCACAUCGGCGACUCCGCCGGCGACGGCGCCUCGUCGCCCGCGCCUCCCCUCCCGUCCUCCAAAAAGGGCGGCGGCGGCGGGGGAGCCGGGGGCCACCACGCAUCCUCUGGAAUCUCGAGCUGGCUCAGCUCCGUGGCCGGGCGCCCGCACCCGCCGCAGCCGCCCUUGCUGGCGGCUGCGGCUGCGGCUGCGGCGGCGGUGGAGACGGAGGCGGAGGAGCUGGCGCUGGCGUCGUCGAUUGGGGAGAGGCAGGCGGAGGAGGAGACGGCGAGGAGGGACGAGCGGAAGGAGGACAGGAAGAGGGAGAUUGAGAAGCAGGAGAAGCGGGAGGACGAGCUGGAGGAGUACCACAUGCAGCUGGCGCUGGAGAUGAGCGCGCGGGAGGACCCCGAGGCGAUGCAGAUCGAGGUGGCCAAGCAGAUCAGCCUCGGCUCCUGCCCGCUCCAGAGCUCCGCUGCCGAGGUCGUCGCCUUCCGCUACUGGAGUUUCAGUGCCCUUAGCUAUGACGACAAAAUAUUGGAUGGUUUCUAUGACAUUUGGGCCACUGGGGGCAAGCCCGCACUGCGAACCAUACCCUCUCUGAUGGAGCUGCAUCAGCAACCUUUUUCUCUUGGAGCUAAAACAGAAGCUGUGUUGGUCAACAGAGCACAAGACUCUGAACUUGUAGACCUUGGGCAGAAGGCACUCAUCAUGGCCGUUGACUUCCGCUCUCAAACUUCACAUUCUGUUGGCCGUGUUUUAAUUCAGAGGCUAGCUAUUUUAGUGGCAAACCACAUGGGUGGGCCAGUUGUUGAUCCAGAAAACGUGCUGUUGAAGUACCAGAAUAUGAGUAGUUCUCUGAGAGCUAGUAUUAGAAGCUCCGUCAUGCCUCUUGGCCGCCUCACAAUUGGCCUGGCUCGUCACCGUGCGCUGCUUUUUAAGGUGUUGGCCGACAACCUUGAUGUUCCUUGUCGACUAGUCAAAGGAAGGCAGUACACUGGAUCAGACGAUGGAGCCUUGAACAUUGUGAAAUUGAAUGAUGGAAGGGAAUACAUUGUCGAUCUCAUGUCAGAUCCUGGUACUCUUAUUGCUUCAGACGGUGCAGACUUGGGUAGAGAAUUUGAAGAAAGUUCCUUUGCAGAUAACCACCAAGGUGACAAAGAUGACAGCAACACUCAGUUGGGAUCCUCUAUUAGUGAACCUUCAAGUUCUGUGUGUGGUUCUUUUGAAAACGAGUCAAAAGGAUCCACACCUACCAAUGUUGUGGAUCCGUAUUGUGUAACAACUAGCCAGACUCGUAACCAAGGAUCUUUGCAAUCAAGUUCAUUGGGGGAACUAUCAGCUGGCUCACAUGCUAGUGAAAGUUUGCCUAUUAUCAAGGAAUCUAGAAAUGCAGACCAUACCUUGGCUGUGAAGAACAAAGAAAAGCCGACUGCAGCAAAUAAGUCAUCGUCAAGUUCACCUUCGUCUUCUGAGGUGGGUAGCGCUCCAGCUGUAAGGAGGACGAAGGUGAAAGAUGUCUCAGAGUAUAUGAUUAGUGCUGCAAAAGAUAACCCCCAGUUAGCUGAGAAGAUCCAUGCUGUAUUACUAGAAAAUGGAGUUGUGCCACCACCUGAUUUGUUUUCAGAAGAAUCUAGGGAACAACCAAAAGACCUAAUUGUGUACGACACAUCUCUGUUUCAAACAAAAGGUGAAAUGAUAAAGCGGAUGAAUGAGCUUGAAUCCACAUCACAUGAUGAAAGUGAUCAUGGUCCUUCGUUGCCACCUCAUCCUGGAUAUGAACACCAAACAAAGGCUGUUCCUUAUCGGCCUAAACCUGUCCAAGGAAUGGGUAUUUAUCACCCCUCAAAUUUCCAUGAUAACAGUAAUCCAUCUUUACCUCUGUAUGAAUCAUCUGCACUUGCCCGGGAAUACCCAUUUCAACUUAUAAAGCAAAUGCCUGUUACAGCUGCUGCAGUUGCAACUGCUGCAGUGGUUGCAUCUUCAAUGGUUGUUGCUGCAGCUAAAUCUAAAAGUGAUAUUAAACUAGAUGUGCCUGUUGCUGCUGCUGCCACUGCUGCUGCUGUUGUUGCUACAUCCGCUGCUGUUAAACAGUAUGAAUACAUGGAUCCGGGUUGUCAAUUGAUUAGCUUGCCUAGUUCUUCGGAGGCAAAUGGACCAGUCCAUAGAGUUCGACCUGACUGCUGGGAUAAAGACCAGCUGGAAGUUGAUCAUGGACAAGAAAAUGCUCUCGAGCAAGGAAAUGCUUUGGUUGAAGUGCCUCGGGAAGCUGAACGGAUCUCUGACAAGUCAAUCGGGACAGAGAGUGUAAGAUCUGAUGUAACUAUGGACGAUGUCGCAGAGUUUGAGAUCCAAUGGGAAGAAAUUGUUCUAGGAGAACGUGUUGGGCUAGGAUCUUUUGGAGAAGUGUACAGAGGGGAAUGGCAUGGAACAGAAGUUGCAGUCAAGAAAUUCUUGCAACAGGAUAUUUCAAGUGAUAUACUGGAAGAAUUAAAAGCUGAGGUGCGGAUAAUGAAGAGACUGCGGCAUCCAAAUGUUGUUCUUUUUAUGGGUGCUGUCACUCGUAUACCCAACCUUUCUAUCUUGACUGAAUUUCUUCCGAGAGGUAGUUUGUUUCGGUUGAUCCGUCGCCCCAACAACCAGUUGGAUGAAAGAAAACGUAUAAGGAUGGCACUUGAUGUGGCCCGUGGAAUGAAUUAUUUGCACAAUUGUACCCCUGUUGUAGUUCAUCGAGAUUUGAAGUCACCGAAUCUACUUGUUGACAAGAAUUGGGUUGUGAAGGUUUGUGAUUUUGGUUUAUCACGUAUAAAGCACAAUACCUUCCUUUCCUCAAGAUCCACGGCUGGAACAGCGGAAUGGAUGGCACCAGAAGUGCUUCGAAAUGAACCGUCGGAUGAGAAAUGUGAUGUUUUCAGCUAUGGGGUUAUAUUAUGGGAACUUUGUACCUUGUUACAGCCAUGGGAAGGUAUGAAUCCCAUGCAAGUGGUUGGAGCUGUUGGUUUUCAGGAACGACGCCUUGAUAUUCCAGCCGAGGUGGAUCCUGCCAUAGCAGAGAUAAUAGAGAGAUGCUGGCAGACAGACCCAAAGACGCGUCCAUCAUUUUCAGAGAUCAUGGCUGCCUUAAAACGAGUAUUGAAAAAAUUGUCUGCCAACCAACCACGAAGACAGCGAGCACAGGAAGCAGAUGACUAA